RNAcentral lists this ribosomal RNA (464 nucleotides) under uncultured bacterium. RNAcentral describes it as "partial 16S ribosomal RNA". It matches the Rfam family "Bacterial small subunit ribosomal RNA", at positions 28 to 507 of the family's 1533-position model. The record is from RNAcentral.
GACGAACGCUGGCGGCGUGCUUAACACAUGCAAGUCGAACGGAAAGGCCCUGCUUGCCGGGUACUCGAGUGGCGAACGGGUGAGUAACACGUGGGUGAUCUGCCCUGCACUUCGGGAUAAGCUUGGGAAACUGGUCUAAUACCGGAUAGGAACCAUCUUUAGUGUGGUGGUUGGAAAGUUUUUUCGGUGUAGGAUGAGCUCGCGGCCUAUCAGCUUGUUGGUGGGGUAAUGACCUACCAAGGCGGCGACGGGUAGCCGGCCUGAGAGGGUGUACGGCCACAUUGGGACUGAGAUACGGCCCAGACUCCUACGGGAGGCAGCAGUGGGGAAUAUUGCACAAUGGGCGCAAGCCUGAUGCAGCGACGCCGCGUGGGGGAUGAAGGCCUUCGGGUUGUAAACUCCUUUCGCUAGGGACGAAGCUUUUUGUGACGGUACCUAGAUAAGAAGCACCGGCUAACUACGUG